Molecule: long non-coding RNA, 1392 nt
Organism: Hydra vulgaris (swiftwater hydra)
Lineage: Eukaryota; Metazoa; Cnidaria; Hydrozoa; Anthoathecata; Hydridae
Source: RefSeq, a predicted model, not a curated record
CCAUGAAACUUAAAAUUUAUCGAUGAAUAUAAUUCUAGUUGAGAAUAGUAAAGAAAAUAUUGUAUCAACUUGUUGCCCUUCAUGUUUUUUGAUUAAGGUAGACCACUAUUAAAAAUCAAAAAAAUCGUUUUUUCAAUUAUAAUUUGUUUAAGUAAUAUAGAGUACAACAGGGUAAAAUGAAAUAGCCGAUAGAAUGAAAUAGUUAUGACAAUGUUUAUUCUUUCGCUCUUAAUUAACUAUUGAAUAACUUUUUGCAAAUAUUUUUUGAUUAUAUUGAAGAGAAUAUUUUCUGGGUAAGGAUUGCAUAAAAUUUUAUUUUUAAUAAAAAAAAUAUUUGUUAUAAAUUUAGCAGUUUUCGAAUGCGUAUUAAGAUUUUAUUUCUUUAAAAAGCGAACUUUAAACUCUCGGAAAUUAAUGUUUACUGGUACAGCUUUUUACGCUGAUCAAAAAAUUAAACUUGCUACUUAAUAAAAAAAUUUAUGAGUUAAAAACGGCAAAGGGAGUGUUGUGGGAUUGAAUGAAAUACGGUAAUAAAUAAAUAAAUACAAACAAUAACUUAUUUCUUAAAAGUGGCUUUUUUUUAUUAUGUCUCAAAUGACCAAUAAAUCUACAACUAUAAAUUUUUGUAUAAAUUUCAAUGAACGAAUUUUCCUAACUGAAUUUAAAUGACUUUUACUUACUGCUUUUAUAAAAUGGUUCUAAUAAAUGAAUGAAAUACGAUAGUUACUCUCUUGUUACCUUCUUCUUACUCUCGGUCACCUUGUCUGCAAACAACCUUCAAUAUUAUUGUAAUAACUCCGGCUAUUCAAAAGGAAAUACAAAAAACGGUUGCAAAACAACUGCAAUCAGCCCAAUCACUUGCAGCAGCUUUGCAACAAAUAUUUCGUAUCCAACACGUUGACACACAAAAAAAGAAAAAAUUUAGAUGUGCCAAGAUUCGAAGGGGAGUGUCUCAACAAACCUGAAAUACUUGAAAGGUUAAGAGUUGCUGAGAGCAAAAAAGCAGCAAAGCAAGCUAAAAAAUAACAUAAGUUUAUCUCUAAUGGAGAACAGCAAAUAAACCAAACAACAAUUCCAACGAAAAUAUUAGCUGCAAACCAAUUUAAGUGUAAAAAGUGCCGAAAUGUUUUGGGCGAAACUUUAGCAAGUCAAAAUAUGGAAUAGUGCCAGUGUGAAAAUUCAAAUUGCAAGGUUUGGCUAUGUCAAACAUCCCAGUUUUAUGCAUACCAAAGCGAUACGUAAAAGGCGCUGAGUUUUAUUGCACCAAAAAGUGCUGCACAAGUAAAAACUCAACCUCUAGUACCUCUAAACGACUCAACAUCAUCACAAGAAUAAAAAAGCUUAUUUUGUUUGAUUGAUUUUAUUUAUUGUUAUUAUUGAUUGUUUUUUUAA